This 358-nucleotide ribosomal RNA is filed under the name uncultured bacterium. RNAcentral's name for it is "bacterial SSU rRNA". It matches the Rfam family "Bacterial small subunit ribosomal RNA", at positions 29 to 416 of the family's 1533-position model. The record is from RNAcentral.
AACGAACGUUGGCGGCCUGGAUUAGGCAUGCAAGUUGAGCGUACCCCGCAAGGGGGAGCAGCGUAAGGGGCAGUAAGGCGUAGGUACCUACCCCGGGGUCGGGCAUAGCCUGUAGAAAUACAGGGUAAUUCCCGAUGACCUCGUGAGAGCAAAGAUUCAUCGCCCCGGGAGGGCCUACGUGAUAUUAGCUAGUUGGUGGGGUAACGCCCACAAGGCGAAGAUGUCUAGCGGGUGUGAGAGCACGACCCGNGCCACUGGCACUGAGACACUGGCCAGACACCUACGGGUGGCUGCAGUCGAGGAUCUUCGGCAAUGGGGGCAACCCUGACCGAGCAAGGCCGCGUGUGCGAUGAAGGCC